CUUGGUGGUUAUAGCAUGAGUCAAACACANGAUCCCAUCCCC
Molecule: ribosomal RNA, 42 nt
Filed under: uncultured Rickettsia sp.
Lineage: Bacteria; Pseudomonadati; Pseudomonadota; Alphaproteobacteria; Rickettsiales; Rickettsiaceae
Source: RNAcentral